Molecule: ribosomal RNA, 254 nt
Filed under: uncultured bacterium
Lineage: Bacteria
Description: partial 16S ribosomal RNA
Rfam family: Bacterial small subunit ribosomal RNA
Source: RNAcentral
GACGUAGGGUGCGAGCGUUGUCCGGAAUUAUUGGGCGUAAAGAGCUCGUAGGCGGUGUGUCGCGUCGGCCGUGAAAACCUGCAGCUUAACUGUGGGCUUGCGGUCGAUACGGGCAUCACUGGAGUUCGGCAGGGGAGACUGGAAUUCCUGGUGUAGCGGUGAAAUGCGCAGAUAUCAGGAGGAACACCGGUGGCGAAGGCGGGUCUCUGGGCCGAUACUGACGCUGAGGAGCGAAAGCGUGGGGAGCGAACAGG